UACGAGUGCCCCAAGCGUUAUCCGGAAUUAUUGGGCGUAAAGGGUGUGUAGGUGGUUGUGUUAGUCUCAUGUCAAAUUCUUCGGCUUAACCGGGGUACCGCAUGGGAAACGGCACAACUAGAGGAUGCGAGGGGUGAAUGGAACUCAUGGAGUAGGGGUGAAAUCCGUUGAUAUCAUGGGGAACACCAAAAGCGAAGGCAGUUCACUGGCGCACUCCUGACACUGAAACACGAAAGCGUGGGUAGCGAAUGGG
RNAcentral lists this ribosomal RNA (253 nucleotides) under uncultured bacterium. RNAcentral's name for it is "partial 16S ribosomal RNA". It matches the Rfam family "Bacterial small subunit ribosomal RNA", at positions 524 to 776 of the family's 1533-position model. The record is from RNAcentral.